GAUGAACGCUGGCGGCGUGCCUAAUACAUGCAAGUCGAGCGAACGGACGAGGAGCUUGCUCCUCUGACGUUAGCGGCGGUCGGGUGAGUAACACGUGGAUAACCUACCUAUAAGACUGGGAUAACUUCGGGAAACCGGAGCUAAUACCGGAUAAUAUAUUGAACCGCAUGGUUCAAUAGUGAAAGACGGUUUUGCUGUCACUUAUAGAUGGAUCCGCGCCGCAUUAGCUAGUUGGUAAGGUAACGGCUUACCAAGGCAACGAUGCGUAGCCGACCUGAGAGGGUGAUCGGCCACACUGGAACUGAGACACGGUCCAGACUCCUACGGGAGGCAGCAGUAGGGAAUCUUCCGCAAUGGGCGAAAGCUUGACGGAGCAACGCCGCGUGAGUGAUGAAGGUCUUCGGAUCGUAAAACUCUGUUAUUAGGGAAGAACAAAUGUGUAAGUAACUAUGCACGUCUUGACGGUACCUAAUCAGAAAGCCACGGCUAACUACGUG
RNAcentral lists this ribosomal RNA (497 nucleotides) under uncultured bacterium. RNAcentral's name for it is "partial 16S ribosomal RNA". It matches the Rfam family "Bacterial small subunit ribosomal RNA", at positions 28 to 507 of the family's 1533-position model. The record is from RNAcentral.